GGGACCACCACAUAUGUUCCUCUC
Molecule: non-coding RNA, 24 nt
Filed under: Arabidopsis thaliana (thale cress)
Lineage: Eukaryota; Viridiplantae; Streptophyta; Magnoliopsida; Brassicales; Brassicaceae
Source: RNAcentral